UCACAUGUCCAGGUAGAGACCAGGUGGAG
This 29-nucleotide non-coding RNA is filed under the name Homo sapiens (human). The record is from RNAcentral. Lineage: Eukaryota; Metazoa; Chordata; Mammalia; Primates; Hominidae.